RNAcentral lists this long non-coding RNA (485 nucleotides) under Mus musculus (house mouse). Its description in RNAcentral is "predicted gene 44992". The record is from RNAcentral. Lineage: Eukaryota; Metazoa; Chordata; Mammalia; Rodentia; Muridae.
AUCUGAUGCUGUCUGCAAUCCUCAAGAUGACCUUGAACUCAGAGAUUUAAUCUUCUGGAAUCCAUAGCCACUAUGCCUCAAGAUCUCCAUACCAAGAUCCAGAUCAGAAACUUCUAUCUCCCAGCCCCCAGAUAAGGGUCACUGUAACUAUCAUCCUGAGGAGAAGGACUGUGUCCAGGCUCUCUCUACAAUAACCACAACAAGACAGAAAGUCAGGUGCUGCUGUGUGUUGACAGAUCAAUGGUGAGUCAAGAGUGGAUCUACACAGAAGAAUGAAUAAGCACAGGAAUAAACCUCCAGCCACAAUCUUUAUAAAACUCUGAAGAUUAAGAUUAAGACAGUUGAGCACCCUGGCAGACCCUGUAGUCCUCACACUUGGGCAGCUGAGACAGAAAGUUUGCAAGUUCAAGGCCAGGCUGUGCUGCUUUACAAAACUCUGUCUAGAAACAAACAAAACUUUUUUUGUAAAUACAAACUUCAAAUCU